UAUUAGUAAUUUUUUAUGCACUGUUUAGGCAUGUCAAAUACACAAACCAACCAAAAAGAAAUUCUUUCAGCUAUGAUUUGGUUUAUACAACAAAAGGAGAAAAUGCAAACUUCCAUUCCCAAAAUAUUAA
Molecule: long non-coding RNA, 130 nt
Organism: Ipomoea nil (Japanese morning glory)
Lineage: Eukaryota; Viridiplantae; Streptophyta; Magnoliopsida; Solanales; Convolvulaceae
Exons: 2
Source: RefSeq, a predicted model, not a curated record